GGCGAACGCUGGCGGCGUGCUUAACACAUGCAAGUCGAACGGAAAGGCCUCUUUCGGGGGGUACUCGAGUGGCGAACGGGUGAGUAACACGUGAGUAACCUGCCCUUGACUUUGGGAUAACUUCAGGAAACUGGGGCUAAUACCGGAUAGGAGCUCCUGCUGCAUGGUGGGGGUUGGAAAGUUUCGGCGGUUGGGGAUGGACUCGCGGCUUAUCAGCUUGUUGGUGGGGUAGUGGCUUACCAAGGCUUUGACGGGUAGCCGGCCUGAGAGGGUGACCGGCCACAUUGGGACUGAGAUACGGCCCAGACUCCUACGGGAGGCAGCAGUGGGGAAUAUUGCACAAUGGGUGGAAGCCUGAUGCAGCAACGCCGUGUGCGGGAUGACGGCCUUCGGGUUGUAAACCGCUUUCGCUCAUGACGAAGCUUUGUGUGACGGUAGUGGGUAAAGAAGCACCGGCUAACUACGUG
Molecule: ribosomal RNA, 467 nt
Filed under: uncultured bacterium
Lineage: Bacteria
Description: partial 16S ribosomal RNA
Rfam family: Bacterial small subunit ribosomal RNA
Source: RNAcentral